This 87-nucleotide transfer RNA is filed under the name Minisyncoccota bacterium. Its description in RNAcentral is "tRNA-Ser". It matches the Rfam family "tRNA". From Rfam's summary of the family: Transfer RNA (tRNA) molecules are approximately 80 nucleotides in length. Their secondary structure includes four short double-helical elements and three loops (D, anti-codon, and T loops). Lineage: Bacteria; Bacillati; Minisyncoccota. The record is from RNAcentral.
GGACAGAUGGGUGAGUGGCUUAAACCAGCGGUUUACUAAACCGCCGUCCCCUUAAAAGGACCGUGAGUUCGAAUCUCACUCUGUCCG